UGCUAACCUGGAUGGGUAACAUGUGCGUAAAAGCGCGCUGUGAUAACGUUGCCGCUCUGGGGCGCGGGUCGUGCGCCCGAACAGCGGCGUCCACGGGAGCGCGGUCAGACAGGGUCGCUGUGCUGCACACCAGGCCAGUUUUGCGGCGAUCGAUCCGAUGCCUGAGGGGCUGAAACCUCAUUCGCGGCCCCGGGGAGAGUUUGUUGCCGCCGCGCGUAAAAUUGUAAAAUCCUACUGCGCAAAAAUCCAAAGACCGCUGUGACAUCGGGACACGCUGACUGUCCCCCAAGACCCGCUGAUCCAAACCCGCGAACCAGGCCUGCCACAGGGAACCAGUCCCAGCCGUCACCUUAGAGAGGCGCUGCUGAGCACUUGGCCCCCAGACGGGUUAGGUUUCGGUUUCUCGCUCGUGACUCUGGGAUCCGGUUGCUGGAUGUUGUUAAAGGAUCAUUUGCACUGAUCACAUUUGAUUGGAAGAGCCUGCUGCAGACAGAGUUCAGGCAAGGCUGUGGAUGUCGGCUGUUAAGAGGCUGUUGACGACAUUGCUCAUAUAUUAUUGUGAGGAUUGGCCCCUAAAUACUCAAUCCAUUUUCUUCAUAUAGGCCUUUGACCUCUGUGACACUAUUUUUCCAGCUGGACUUUUAACCAAUCUUGUUUGUGUUGCCCUCCCAAAAAUCCGCUGACAGGAAGAAAUGUGUUGUUUUUUAUUAAGAUUUGCAAAAUGAAAUAUUUGAUUUAAUUAAAGCGCCUCUGUGACACAAUAAGCAAGACGGGGACCUUACACACAAUUACUGAACUCCGGUACCAAAAUUAAUGUUGAAAAAAAUAUUAAAGCCCAGUCUACUCUCUCAUGUUUCUUUUGUUUUUUUUUACACAAAGAGGACACACUUAUUGGGAUAACCACAUUUUGGA
Molecule: long non-coding RNA, 912 nt
Organism: Scophthalmus maximus (turbot)
Lineage: Eukaryota; Metazoa; Chordata; Actinopteri; Pleuronectiformes; Scophthalmidae
Exons: 3
Source: RefSeq, a predicted model, not a curated record